AUUGAACGCUGGCGGCAGGCUUAACACAUGCAAGUCGAGAGGGGUGAUGGUGCUUGCACUAUCACUUAGCGGCGGACGGGUGAGUAAUGCUUAGGAAUCUGCCUAUUAGUGGGGGACAACAUCUCGAAAGGGAUGUUAAUACCGCAUACGUCCUACGAGAGAAAGCAGGGGAUCACUUGUGACCUUGCGCUAAUAGAUGAGCCUAAGUCGGAUUAGCUAGUUGGUGGGGUAAAGGCCUACCAAGGCGACGAUCUGUAGCGGGUCUGAGAGGAUGAUCCGCCACACUGGGACUGAGACACGGCCCAGACUCCUACGGGAGGCAGCAGUGGGGAAUAUUGGACAAUGGGGGGAACCCUGAUCCAGCCAUGCCGCGUGUGUGAAGAAGGCCUUAUGGUUGUAAAGCACUUUAAGCGAGGAGGAGGCUCUUUUGGUUAAUACCCAAGAUGAGUGGACGUUACUCGCAGAAUAAGCACCGGCUAACUCUGUGCCAGCAGCCGCAGUAA
RNAcentral lists this ribosomal RNA (503 nucleotides) under uncultured bacterium. Its description in RNAcentral is "partial 16S ribosomal RNA". It matches the Rfam family "Bacterial small subunit ribosomal RNA", at positions 30 to 523 of the family's 1533-position model. The record is from RNAcentral.